UGACACUGGCUGCUGACAAAGAUUCA
This 26-nucleotide unclassified non-coding RNA is filed under the name Mus musculus (house mouse). RNAcentral's name for it is "oocyte_clustered_small_RNA8786". The record is from RNAcentral. Lineage: Eukaryota; Metazoa; Chordata; Mammalia; Rodentia; Muridae.